UCGAGGAUCUUCGGCAAUGGGCGCAAGCCUGACCGAGCGACGCCGCGUGCGCGAUGAAGGCCUUCGGGUUGUAAAGCGCUGUCGAGGGGGAGGAAAGCCGGGUCACACCGGCCUGACCUAUCCCUGGAGGAAGCACGGGCUAAGUUCGUGCCAGCAGCCGCGGUAAGACGAACCGUGCGAACGUUGUUCGGAUUCACUGGGCUUAAAGGGCGCGUAGGCGGGCGGUCAAGUCCGGGGUGAAAUCUUCCGGCCCAACCGGAAAAUAGCCCGGGAUACUGGCCGCCUCGAGGGGGGUAGGGGCAUGCGGAACUUCCGGUGGAGCGGUGAAAUGCGUAGAUAUCGGAAGGAACGCCGGCGGCGAAAGCGGCGUGCUGGACCCCCCCUGACGCUGAGGCGCGAAAGCCAGGGGAGCAAACGGGAUUAGAUACCCCCGUAGUCC
This 439-nucleotide ribosomal RNA is filed under the name uncultured bacterium. Its description in RNAcentral is "bacterial SSU rRNA". It matches the Rfam family "Bacterial small subunit ribosomal RNA", at positions 355 to 796 of the family's 1533-position model. The record is from RNAcentral.